RNAcentral lists this ribosomal RNA (497 nucleotides) under uncultured bacterium. Its description in RNAcentral is "partial 16S ribosomal RNA". It matches the Rfam family "Bacterial small subunit ribosomal RNA", at positions 28 to 507 of the family's 1533-position model. The record is from RNAcentral.
GAUGAACGCUGGCGGCGUGCCUAACACAUGCAAGUCGAGCGAACAGACGAGGAGCUUUCUCCCUUGCAGUUAGCGGCGGAAGGGGGAGUAAAACGUGGAUAACCUACCUAUAUGACUGGGAUAAAUUCGGGAGAAAGGAGCGAAUACCGCAUAAUCUAUCGAACCGCUGGGUCCAAUAGAGAUAAAAGGUUUUCCCGUCACUUAAAGAUGGAUCCGCGCCGCAUUUGCUAGUUGGUAAGGUAGCGGCUUACCAAGGCAACGAUGCGUGGCCGACCCGAGAGGGUAAUCGGCCACACUGGAACUGGGACACGGUCCGGACUCCUACGGGAGGCAGCAGUGGGGAAUCUUCCGCAAUGGGCGAAAUCCUGAGGGAGAAACGCCGCGUGGGUGAUGAAGGCCUUCGGUUCGUAAAACUCUGUUAUUGGGAAAGAACAAAUGUGUGCGAAUCUAUGGACGUCUUGACGGUACCUAAAUAGAAAGCCACGGCUAACUACGUG